RNAcentral lists this ribosomal RNA (169 nucleotides) under Staurogyne expansa. Its description in RNAcentral is "5.8S ribosomal RNA". The stretch from base 1 to 79 matches the Rfam family "5.8S ribosomal RNA", at positions 78 to 154 of the family's 154-position model. Lineage: Eukaryota; Viridiplantae; Streptophyta; Magnoliopsida; Lamiales; Acanthaceae. The record is from RNAcentral.
NAUCCCGUGAACCAUCGAGUCUUUGAACGCAAGUUGCGCCCGAAGCCAUUAGGCUGAGGGCACGUCUGCCUGGGCGUCACGCAUCGCGUUGCCCCCCCCCAUCCGCGUAUCAGUGGAUUCGGGUGGGGCGGAAAUUGGCCUCCUGUGGGCUCCUGCUCGCGGCUGGCCU